This is a non-coding RNA of Periconia macrospinosa, 89 nucleotides long. The record is from the annotation of a GenBank genome assembly. NCBI's taxonomy places the organism in Eukaryota, Fungi, Ascomycota, Dothideomycetes, Pleosporales, Periconiaceae.
UCCUGUGUAGUGUAGCGGUUAUCACACUGGAUUUUGAUAUCAAUAUCAAAAGUCUUCCAGUAACCCCAGUUCGAAUCUGGGCACGGGAU